This 45-nucleotide non-coding RNA is filed under the name Schistosoma haematobium. The record is from RNAcentral. Lineage: Eukaryota; Metazoa; Platyhelminthes; Trematoda; Strigeidida; Schistosomatidae.
AUGCAGCUGAAUAGUUCCAAAUAGGACGAAACGUGCGUCCUGGAU